GCAGCUCAAGAGAUGUUGAUUGAAAAAGC
This 29-nucleotide small RNA is filed under the name Bombyx mori (domestic silkworm). Its description in RNAcentral is "ovarian small RNA-16485". The record is from RNAcentral. Lineage: Eukaryota; Metazoa; Arthropoda; Insecta; Lepidoptera; Bombycidae.